RNAcentral lists this transfer RNA (68 nucleotides) under Macrogyrus oblongus. Its description in RNAcentral is "tRNA-Ser". The record is from RNAcentral. Lineage: Eukaryota; Metazoa; Arthropoda; Insecta; Coleoptera; Gyrinidae.
GAAAUAUGUAGAAACAAGAAAAAGCUUCUAACUUUAAUCUUUAGCGGUUUAAAUCCGUUUAUAUUUCU